CUUCAGGAUUACAUUGUUUACAAACCAAUCCUGACCUGGCAACUCUACAUCAACAGAAAGGAAGAGAAGAAAAAUGCCCUCCUUAAGUGUCACAUGGACCAACCCCGGAGCUGAUGGAUACAGGUGAUACUAAAAUAAUAUUUUGAAAAUAGGCCAAUUCGCUUCUUAAUAAAAGCUUGCUGCAAAAGGCAGUCAGCUCAUUUGAUUUUAUCUCACGUGCGGCCUCUGAGUUGAUGCCAUUGAAUUCAAAGAAGAGGGGAGGACUCAGAAAUAUGGCUUCGCCUAAAAGGAUAGAUUCCCAGAUCUAGAAAUACUGGGCCAAAGGGCAUGAACAUUUUUAAGGUGAAAAAAGGUAUCUUUGACAUCAGUUGUAAAGAAGCCACCAUGACGAACAGGAACAAUGCCAGGACCCACUUCCCAACUAUGGAGAAAAAUCUGUUCCGGGAAUACCAUGUGAACUCUGGAAUCCCAAGAGCCUGACUCAA
Molecule: long non-coding RNA, 485 nt
Filed under: Microcebus murinus (gray mouse lemur)
Lineage: Eukaryota; Metazoa; Chordata; Mammalia; Primates; Cheirogaleidae
Description: lncRNA (ENSMICG00000048234.1)
Source: RNAcentral